ACUCGAGUGGCGAACGGGUGAGUAACACGUGGGUGAUCUACCCCGCACUUCGGGAUAAGCCUGGGAAACUGGGUCUAAUACCGGAUAGUCACUCCCCUUUGAUGUGGGGUGUGGAAAGAUUUAUCGGUGUGGGAUGAGCUUGCGGCCUAUCAGCUUGUUGGUGGGGUAAUGGCCUACCAAGGCGUCGACGGGUAGCCGGCCUGAGAGGGUGUACGGCCACAUUGGGACUGAGAUACGGCCCAG
This 243-nucleotide ribosomal RNA is filed under the name uncultured Actinomycetales bacterium. Its description in RNAcentral is "partial 16S ribosomal RNA". It matches the Rfam family "Bacterial small subunit ribosomal RNA", at positions 89 to 334 of the family's 1533-position model. Lineage: Bacteria; Bacillati; Actinomycetota; Actinomycetes; Actinomycetales. The record is from RNAcentral.